AAUUAAUUAUAAGAAAUGGAAAAAGAAAGAACAACCGUAAGAGUGAACCUGUGUAGCUAAGCCAAUACUUAAUAUCUGUAUAAAUAACAACAAAUGAAGAAGUGUUAAAUAGCAAUAAUAUAUAUAUAUAUAUACCAGUACAACUUUAUGAGGCACCAAAUAAUGGAAUCAAACUGAUUGUUGCCACUGGCCAUCACAGAUAAUGCUAAUGAUCAUAUGACACAUUAAGGAUGAUUGUAAAAUUUGAAACUUGAGCUGCCGUUUUGGGCUUUAGAAAAAAAUGAUUGUAUUUUGUUCAUAAACUUUUAUGAAUAUGCAAAAAUGCAAUUAUUUUGGAUUCUUUUAUCAAGGUUAUUUUCGGCCAGUCGUUUGAGGUAUAUAGGAUCCGAAUUCUCUCUAUUUGAAGGUCUAAAUUUAAAAUUAUUAUAUCUAAGGCCUAGAAAUUAUUAUCUUAUUUAAAAGUUAUUAACUUAACUCUAAUCAUUUCAUUUAAAAUCCACUAACCAAACUCUAAUCAUUAAUUUAAUAUAACACUAUAUUAUUAUUAUUAUUAUUAUUAUUAUUAUUAUUAUUAUUAUUAUUAUUUUGUAUUCUAUUUUUUUCUUCUAUUUUUGGUGCAAAAGUUAUGUACUUAUUUUGUCUAAAUAUUUAUUGAUCAGUGGAGCUUUGUUAUGAGUAUUUAUCAUGUUAAGGUUAUGAAGGACAAAAAAAGAAGAAUAAAAUAGAAAUUAUAACCUAUAAUUUACUCAUUUUUUUUACUUGACUACAUGUAAUCCUAAUUUACACAUGGGAACCUACAGUUUUGAGUUAAACUACAUAUCAAAUAAUAUUAAUUUUUUUGCUACGUUCAUUAAUUAAAUGACGGGUAAAAACUAAUUUUCUUUUAAGUUAUUUCAUACAUAUUAAGAUUUGUUAAAGAAAUAUUUUUAAAAUCCAUGUAAUUUUUUAAUAGGAUAAUGGAUCGGCAUUUUAUUAAAUUUUUGUAGCAUAAAUUUUUUUGUCAUUCCUAACCUUAACAUAAUAAAGUGUUCAUCACAAAGCUCCACUCAAUAAAUAUUUAGACAAAAUAGGUACAUAUAUAACUUUCGCACCAUAAAAAAAAGAAGAAAAAAAUAGAAUACAAAAUAAUAAUAAUACUGUAAUAAUAAUAAAAUAAUUAUUAAAAAAACUAAUGAGGGACAUAACAAAGUACUAAUUAAUAAUAAUAAUAAUAUAUUAGUGUUAUAUUAAAUUAAUAACUAGAGUUAGGUUAAUGACUUUAAAAUAAAGUAGCUAGAGUCAAGUUAAUAACUCUUAAAUGAGGUGCCUACUUCUAAAUUUUAUAUCUAAUAAUUUUAAAUCAGACCCUUUAAAUAGAGUCUGUCUAUUUCAUGAAUCCUGAGAAAGGCUCAAAAAAAUACUCCAUACAAACAGAAAAAAAAUAUAAUUUGAAAAAAUUAAGUAGAAGUGAUACCUUAUCUUUUAAGAAUUAGAGAUAAUUUUAAUUUUUAAAUUUACGAGCAUAUCACCGAAUUUAAAAUGUAUUCAAUUUUUAUUUAAUUUUAGUGUGACUAACUAUAAUUAUUAUAUAUUUAUUAAAAAUGUGAUUAAUGUAUAAUACUACUAGUAUUUGGUACUUUUAAAACUCAUAAAAAAAAGUCAAAAUUUAACUUGCAUUUUUGGGAACAAAUAGGAUAUAUAAUUACCUACGAUACGACCAAAGCAGAAAAGAACAGUGUCACGUGUACAGUUCUGACAAUUUAACUCCCACGUGAGUUGUUUGAUAAGAUUGGGGUCUCUAUUUGCAUGUGAGACCACUAUGUGUAUCCGGAUUUGUGAAGAUCAUCGGAGUGGCGUCUCGUCUGCAUCGUGUGAAUCAGUACUCGUGUGGAUGGGAGGAGAGUACUGUAUUCAGUAUAGUACAGGGACAUAUAUUCUGUCAUAAAAAUUAUCAAAAAUUCUUUAAUUUCAAUACUUUUUUUGGACAUUAUUGAGUUAUAGUAUUUGAAUAAAGAUAUUAACUGCAUCAUUUAUUUUCUUUACGAGUUCUUCUUGUGGACCAGAAAAAUUAUGGAUGUUAAAUUUAAAUAUACCUCUUGUUUAAUUUUUUUUGUUCCAUUUUCCUGUCUAUUAAGAUUUUUUGUUUCUUAUAAUCAAAUAAGUACAAAAAAUUAUCCGGUCCGAAUUGAAGGAAUAGGUUUUUCCUAGUUAAUUAACUGAAACAUUAAUUAUGGAUCUUAAUAAACACGCAUAUCUCCAUAUAUAUAGCUCUAUAUAUAUAUAUAUACUGUGUAAACUCAUAAGAUAUUACUCUGAAUUAUUUAACUCAAUAAUCAAAGAUAGAAUGAUUUAUUCAAGAUAGAAGACUUGCUUUAUGAAUAAUCAAGAUAUGAUUUUCUGGACCGAAACAUAAUAAAUAAACCAGGUUAUCUGUGUGUAAAGAAAUAAAUAUGAAUAAAGCAUGCAUGUUACGUAAAGAUGUGAGGGUCCAAUAAUGUAUAUAAUGCUUAAAUUAAUAUAAAGAUACUUUAUAUACUUAAAACUCUAAUAUCAUGUUGCGUAAUUAACUCAUCUAAAAAUUUAAGUUGAUAAAUUUUGAUUAUCCACAUAACUAUUAUUUAAAUUAAAUAAAUUAAAUUUGAAUAAUAGGCUCACCAUUGAAUGGAUUGCGUUCAUCUGCGUCUUUUAUUGUUGAAUUGAACUGUACAAGAUGACCCUAGCCUUCCAUUCAAUGUUGGAGUUCGAUC
This 2726-nucleotide long non-coding RNA is filed under the name Panax ginseng (ginseng). RNAcentral describes it as "long non-coding RNA (PGIN_LNC015641)". The record is from RNAcentral. Lineage: Eukaryota; Viridiplantae; Streptophyta; Magnoliopsida; Apiales; Araliaceae.